This 1427-nucleotide ribosomal RNA is filed under the name uncultured organism. RNAcentral's name for it is "partial small subunit ribosomal RNA". It matches the Rfam family "Bacterial small subunit ribosomal RNA". The record is from RNAcentral.
UAGGACGAACGCUGGCGGCGUGCUUAACACAUGCAAGUCGAACGGAAAGGCCCUGCUUUUGUGGGGUGCUCGAGUGGCGAACGGGUGAGUAACACGUGAGUAACCUGCCCUUGACUUUGGGAUAACUUCAGGAAACUGGGGCUAAUACCGGAUAGGAGCUCCUGCUGCAUGGUGGGGGUUGGAAAGUUUCGGCGGUUGGGGAUGGACUCGCGGCUUAUCAGCUUGUUGGUGGGGUAGUGGCUUACCAAGGCUUUGACGGGUAGCCGGCCUGAGAGGGUGACCGGCCACAUUGGGACUGAGAUACGGCCCAGACUCCUACGGGAGGCAGCAGUGGGGAAUAUUGCACAAUGGGCGGAAGCCUGAUGCAGCAACGCCGCGUGCGGGAUGACGGCCUUCGGGUUGUAAACCGCUUUCGCCUGUGACGAAGCGUGAGUGACGGUAAUGGGUAAAGAAGCACCGGCUAACUACGUGCCAGCAGCCGCGGUGAUACGUAGGGUGCGAGCGUUGUCCGGAUUUAUUGGGCGUAAAGGGCUCGUAGGUGGUUGAUCGCGUCGGAAGUGUAAUCUUGGGGCUUAACCCUGAGCGUGCUUUCGAUACGGGUUGACUUGAGGAAGGUAGGGGAGAAUGGAAUUCCUGGUGGAGCGGUGGAAUGCGCAGAUAUCAGGAGGAACACCAGUGGCGAAGGCGGUUCUCUGGGCCUUUCCUGACGCUGAGGAGCGAAAGCGUGGGGAGCGAACAGGCUUAGAUACCCUGGUAGUCCACGCUGUAAACGGUGGGUACUAGGUGUGGGGUCCAUUCCACGGGUUCCGUGCCGUAGCUAACGCUUUAAGUACCCCGCCUGGGGAGUACGGCCGCAAGGCUAAAACUCAAAGGAAUUGACGGGGCCCCGCACAAGCGGCGGAGCAUGCGGAUUAAUUCGAUGCAACGCGUAGAACCUUACCUGGGUUUGACAUGGAUCGGGAGUGCUCAGAGAUGGGUGUGCCUCUUUUGGGGUCGGUUCACAGGUGGUGCAUGGCUGUCGUCAGCUCGUGUCGUGAGAUGUUGGGUUAAGUCCCGCAACGAGCGCAACCCUUGUUCACUGUUGCCAGCACGUUAUGGUGGGGACUCAGUGGAGACCGCCGGGGUCAACUCGGAGGAAGGUGGGGAUGACGUCAAGUCAUCAUGCCCCUUAUGUCCAGGGCUUCACGCAUGCUACAAUGGCUGGUACAGAGAGUGGCGAGCCUGUGAGGGUGAGCGAAUCUCGGAAAGCCGGUCUCAGUUCGGAUUGGGGUCUGCAACUCGACCUCAUGAAGUCGGAGUCGCUAGUAAUCGCAGAUCAGCAACGCUGCGGUGAAUACGUUCCCGGGGCUUGUACACACCGCCCGUCAAGUCAUGAAAGUUGGUAACACCCGAAGCCGGUGGCCUAACCGUUGUGGGGGAGCCGUCGA